GAUGAACGCUGGCGGCGUGCUUAACACAUGCAAGUCGAACGGAAAGGCCCAAGCUUGCUUGGGUACUCGAGUGGCGAACGGGUGAGUAACACGUGGGUGAUCUGCCCUGCACUUCGGGAUAAGCCUGGGAAACUGGGUCUAAUACCGGAUAGGACCACAUUUUGGAUGGUGUGGUGGAAAGUUUUUCGGUGUGGGAUGAGCUCGCGGCCUAUCAGCUUGUUGGUGGGGUAGUGGCCUACCAAGGCGUCGACGGGUAGCCGGCCUGAGAGGGUGUACGGCCACAUUGGGACUGAGAUACGGCCCAGACUCCUACGGGAGGCAGCAGUGGGGAAUAUUGCACAAUGGGCGCAAGCCUGAUGCAGCGACGCCGCGUGGGGGAUGACGGCCUUCGGGUUGUAAACUCCUUUCGCUAGGGACGAAGCGCAAGUGACGGUACCUGGAGAAGAAGCACCGGCUAACUACGUG
RNAcentral lists this ribosomal RNA (465 nucleotides) under uncultured bacterium. RNAcentral's name for it is "partial 16S ribosomal RNA". It matches the Rfam family "Bacterial small subunit ribosomal RNA", at positions 28 to 507 of the family's 1533-position model. The record is from RNAcentral.